This 407-nucleotide ribosomal RNA is filed under the name uncultured bacterium. RNAcentral's name for it is "bacterial SSU rRNA". It matches the Rfam family "Bacterial small subunit ribosomal RNA", at positions 355 to 776 of the family's 1533-position model. The record is from RNAcentral.
UGGGGAAUAUUGGGCAAUGGAGGCAACUCUGACCCAGCAACGCCGCGUGAAUGAUGAAGGUCUUCGGAUUGUAAAGUUCUGUGAUGGGGGAUGAACACAAUGACGGUACCCCAAUAGCAAGCCACGGCUAACUACGUGCCAGCAGCCGCGGUAAUACGUAGGUGGCAAGCGUUAUCCGGAAUGACUGGGCGUAAAGGGUGCGUAGGUGGUUUAGUAAGUUGGCGGUGUAAUUCCGGGGCUUAACCUCGGCGCUACCGCCAAAACUAUUAGACUAGAGUGCAGGAGGGGUAAGUGGAAUUCCUAGUGUAGCGGUGGAAUGCGUAGAUAUUAGGAGGAACAUCAGGGGCGAAGGCGACUUACUGGACUGUAACUGACACUGAGGCACGAAAGCGUGGGGAGCAAACAGG